CUCCCGGUUGAUCCCGCCGGACCCGACUGCUAUCAGAGUGGGACUAAGCCAUGCGAGUCAACAUAGCAAUAUGUGGCAUACGGCUCAGUAACACGUAGUCAACAUGCCCGGGGGACGUGGAUAACCUCGGGAAACUGAGGAUAAACCGCGAUAGGUCAUCACUUCUGGAAUGGGUAAUGACUUAAAUCUAUAUGGCCCCUGGAUUGGACUGCGGCCGAUCAGGCUGUUGGUGAGGUAAUGGCCCACCAAACCUGUAACCGGUACGGGCUCUGAGAGGAGGAGCCCGGAGAUGGGCACUGAGACAAGGGCCCAGGCCCUAUGGGGCGCAGCAGGCGCGAAACCUCUGCAAUAGGCGAAAGCUUGACAGGGUUACUCUGAGUGAUUUCCGUUAAGGAGAUCUUUUGGCACCUCUAAAAAUGGUGCAGAAUAAGGGGUGGGCAAGUCUGGUGUCAGCCGCCGCGGUAAUACCAGCACCCCGAGUGGUCGGGACGUUUAUUGGGCCUAAAGCAUCCGUAGCCGGUUCUACAAGUCUUCCGUUAAAUCCACCUGCUUAACAGAUGGGCUGCGGAAGAUACUAUAGAGCUAGGAGGCGGGAGAGGCAAGCGGUACUCGAUGGGUAGGGGUAAAAUCCGUUGAUCCAUUGAAGACCACCAGUGGCGAAGGCGGCUUGCCAGAACGCGCUCGACGGUGAGGGAUGAAAGCUGGGGGAGCAAACCGGAUUAGAUACCCGGGUAGUCCCAGCUGUAAACGAUGCAGACUCGGUGAUGAGUUGGCUUAUUGCUAACUCAGUGCCGCAGGGAAGCCGUUAAGUUUGCCGCCUGGGGAGUACGGUCGCAAGACUGAAACUUAAAGGAAUUGGCGGGGGAGCA
Molecule: ribosomal RNA, 869 nt
Filed under: uncultured archaeon
Lineage: Archaea
Description: bacterial SSU rRNA
Rfam family: Archaeal small subunit ribosomal RNA
Source: RNAcentral